CACGUAGGGUGCGAGCGUUGUCCGGAAUUAUUGGGCGUAAAGAGCUCGUAGGCGGUGUGUCGCGUCGGCCGUGAAAACCUGCAGCUUAACUGUGGGCGUGCGGUCGAUACGGGCAUCACUGGAGUUCGGCAGGGGAGACUGGAAUUCAUGGUGUAGCAGUGAAAUGCGUAGAGAUCAUGAGGAAGACCAGUGGCGAAGGCGGGUCUCUGGACAGUUCCUGACACUGAGGCACGAAGGCCAGGGGAGCAAACGGG
Molecule: ribosomal RNA, 254 nt
Filed under: uncultured bacterium
Lineage: Bacteria
Description: partial 16S ribosomal RNA
Rfam family: Bacterial small subunit ribosomal RNA
Source: RNAcentral